RNAcentral lists this long non-coding RNA (382 nucleotides) under Elaeis guineensis (African oil palm). Its description in RNAcentral is "long non-coding RNA (EGUI_LNC011266)". The record is from RNAcentral. Lineage: Eukaryota; Viridiplantae; Streptophyta; Magnoliopsida; Arecales; Arecaceae.
CGGGGUUUAUGGCCUUCGAUGUUGUCAAUUUUAAUGUGUUUCGUAAGCAAAUAAAGAGUGCAAAGGAAACACUUGCCAUCUGUGUGUUGGUGAAGCUAAGGUGUCCGGUGACCCAUGCAGCUCAGCCGAUCCUAUUUUAAUUGCUCUUGAUCUCUGCGUCUAAAAUCGGCCACCGAGAUGAGGAUGGCCGAGAUAAGACUACUGGAGUUCUACUUGAAUAUUUACAAAAAAAUCUCCAUCGAGAUAUUCUACGGUAAAGACUCUCCAUCUAAGUCGGGAGAUAAAAAAUAAUAAAUAAAAAUAAAUUAAAAAUUAAAAAUUUAUUUUGAAGAUCCGGAAGUCUCUUUGAUUAUAAAGAAAAAAUUGAAGUCGUGUCCGUCUC